CUAUAAAGCGGGACACAUCUGAGGGAGGUGUCACUGUGCGGUGGCCGGGCUGCGGUCAGCGCACCGCGUCUCCGCGCUGUUUGGACGCUUGGCUUUCAGCCGUUUUUACACGCAGGUCUUCCACACUUUUAAAGAUUGGUACAACGCCUCAGUGUCAUACUCAGCCUUUUUAAGUAGUAGUUGUUUGUUUUUUUUUUCUUUUAAUAGACGUUUACAUUUUUAUGGCCCAGUUGGUGAUGGAGGACAUUCGGCGCUCCAGAAAUCCAAGGCCUGAACGCAGAGACUUGUUUUCUGACCAAAGGAUUUCCACAGCUGGCCCCCGGGCCCCCGGGCCCCCGGGCCUCUCCGCCUGGCCGGCGCGUCUCUCUCCGAGGUGAAGGAGUUUGGGGAAGGCGGCGUUUUUUACGAACAAUCUGGAGCGGAUCCUCUCACGUGAUCGACCCGUGGCCGUUCGGACGCAGCCUCAUCUGAGCCGUAGACGCUGCACGGCCUGCACGGUGAGCCUGAGCGUCCCUGUAACCCGAGGUGGUAACUCCCCUUCACAGUGUUUCCAUGUUUCCCUCAGAAGCAGGAUUAAGUGACAAAGAUCACGUGGGAUCUGGACCCAUGUCAGGCUGCGAGAUGGCUUUGGGUCACGCAUCACAAUAACCAAAUGUCACGUUUCUCCUCAGACCUCCUCAUGGUGAAUCCGUACAAUCAGGACCCGACAUGGAGGCCAUCGGUGCUCCGGAUCAUUUCUGCAACGACUUUAUGUUCAGAGGACGUGACGGACUGGCUUGUUGAGCAGGACAGAUGUGACCGAGAUGAUUAAACAUCUCCGCAGCUGGCCUCCCCGGAUGCCGGCAUCGGUACUGACCGGACCCACGGGCACGGCAAGUGCAAUGGUUUCCUGUCAGUGUUAUAAAGAUCUUCAGGACACCCUGAGGCGCUCCAGGAUGGAGUCCUGAUGAAACUGGGGGGCCAGACCUUCAUGGAGCUAUUUGGGGGCACUGACUGGACCAGAGCAGACGUAAGACGCUCUAAACCAGGGACCACCUACCUUUGUGACACUGAGAGCUACUUCACCGGCACUGUGUCAUACCAAGGGCUACCUGUACUGACCUUUGAACUACAAGAGUCCAAGCUCAUCUUAACUUUACGUACUAUAAAUAUAUAUUUAAUGCUUUUGGCAUUUUUAAAUCUAUGUAAAUACAAGUAUGAUUAAGAAGGAGGAGCAGCUGAAUAAAAUAGCAUUUUUCAAGUGCAGCUCACUGGAUGGUUUUUGCUGUUCGAUCAUUUUUAACUGAGGAGAGGAUAUUUAAGCUUCAAAGGUAGGCGAUUUUGGUUUAGACGGAGCAAAACCCCAGAUUCUGUAGAAAAAUCUAGCAAAUAAAAAAAAAAGAUCCAGGAUUCCCGCUGUGAUCCCCGUGACGCAGAGUAUGGGGCUGCUGUGGUUACACCACAAGCAGAGCCAGGCCCGCCGUCUGCAGCGCGGCUCAUAAUGCUGCAGAACGGAGCGACGUGACCUUUGGAGGAAUUGAUUAAAAUUAGCCAGCAGGCUUAUAACAAGAACUAAAAUUAGACAAGGCUGGGUGUAAUCCUGUGCUGAAAAGGAACUCGCACAGCCAUCUCAUGUGAUGUCUCAUGUGGUUCUCAGAGACUGUGGCUGUGUGUAGGCCGCUAAUAAACAUGUCCGUCCUGCGCAUCUGAUGCAAAGCCCCGCACCGCAGGCCGACAUUACAGCGCUUCAGACACACCAAAAUAAAGAUUUUAAAGACA
Fundulus heteroclitus (mummichog) is the source of this 1758-nucleotide long non-coding RNA. RefSeq lists it as uncharacterized. NCBI's taxonomy places the organism in Eukaryota, Metazoa, Chordata, Actinopteri, Cyprinodontiformes, Fundulidae. The record is from RefSeq and is a predicted model, not a curated record. The transcript is spliced from 6 exons.